This 289-nucleotide ribosomal RNA is filed under the name Salmonella enterica subsp. enterica serovar 1,4,[5],12:i:-. RNAcentral describes it as "partial 16S ribosomal RNA". It matches the Rfam family "Bacterial small subunit ribosomal RNA", at positions 1129 to 1417 of the family's 1533-position model. Lineage: Bacteria; Pseudomonadati; Pseudomonadota; Gammaproteobacteria; Enterobacterales; Enterobacteriaceae. The record is from RNAcentral.
GGUCGGGAACUCAAAGGAGACUGCCAGUGAUAAACUGGAGGAAGGUGGGGAUGACGUCAAGUCAUCAUGGCCCUUACGACCAGGGCUACACACGUGCUACACUGGCGCAUACAAAGAGACGCGACCUCGCGAGAGCAAGCGGACCUCAUAAAGUGCGUCGUAGUCCGGAGUGGAGUCUGCAACUCGACUCCAUGAAGUCGGAAUCGCUAGUAAUCGUGGAUCAGAAUGCCACGGUGAAUACGUUCCCGGGCCUUGUACACACCGCCCGUCACACCAUGGGAGUGGGUUG